This 1493-nucleotide ribosomal RNA is filed under the name Arthrobacter sp. MCMB-435. RNAcentral's name for it is "bacterial SSU rRNA". It matches the Rfam family "Bacterial small subunit ribosomal RNA". Lineage: Bacteria; Bacillati; Actinomycetota; Actinomycetes; Micrococcales; Micrococcaceae. The record is from RNAcentral.
AGAGUUUGAUCCUGGCUCAGGAUGAACGCUGGCGGCGUGCUUAACACAUGCAAGUCGAACGAUGAUCCGGUGCUUGCGCCGGGGAUUAGUNNCGAACGGGUGAGUAACAGAGUUUGAUCCUGGCUCANGAUGAACGCUGGCGGCGUGCUUAACACAUGCAAGUCGAACGAUGAUCCGGUGCUUGCGCCGGGGAUUAGUGGCGAACGGGUGAGUAACACGUGAGUAACCUGCCCUUGACUCUGGGAUAAGCCUGGGAAACUGGGUCUAAUACCGGAUAUGACUCCUCAUCGCAUGGUGGGGGGUGGAAAGCUUUUUGUGGUUUUGGNNGGACUCGCGGCCUAUCAGCUUGUUGGUGGGGUAAUGGCCUACCAAGGCGACGACGGGUAGCCGGCCUGAGAGGGUGACCGGCCACACUGGGACUGAGACACGGCCCAGACUCCUACGGGAGGCAGCAGUGGGGAAUAUUGCACAAUGGGCGAAAGCNUGAUGCAGCGACGCCGCGUGAGGGANNACGGCCUUCGGGUUGUAAACCUCUUUCAGUAGGGAAGAAGCCCUCUUUGGGGGUGACGGUACUUGCAGAANAAGCGCCGGCUAACUACGUGCCAGCAGCCGCGGUAAUGCGUAGGGCGCAAGCGUUAUCCGGAAUUAUUGGGCGUAAAGAGCUCGUAGGCGGUUUGUCGCGUCUGCUGUGAAAGACCGGGGCUCAACUCCGGUUCUGCAGUGGGUACGGGCAGACUAGANNGCAGUAGGGGAGACUGGAAUUCCUGGUGAAGCGGUGAAAUGCGCAGAUAUCAGGAGGAACACCCAUGGCGAAGGCAGGUCUCUGGGCUGUAACUGACGCUGAGGAGCGAAAGCAUGGGGAGCGAACAGGAUUAGAUACCCUGGUAGUCCAUGCCGUAAACGUUGGGCACUAGGUGUGGGGGACAUUCCACGUUUUNCCGCGCCGUAGCUAACGCAUUAAGUGCCCCGCCUGGGGAGUACGGCCNNAAGGCUAAAACUCAAAGGAAUUGACGGGGGCCCGCACAAGCGGCGGAGCAUGCGGAUUAAUUCGAUGCAACGCGAAGAACCUUACCAAGGCUUGACAUGGACCGGAAAGACCUGGAAACACCUGCCCCGCUUGCGGCCGGUUUACAGGUGGUGCAUGGUUGUNNNCAGCUCGUGUCGUGAGAUGUUGGGUUAAGUCCCGCAACGAGCGCAACCCUCGCUCUAUGUUGCCAGCGGUUCGGCCGGGGACUCAUAGGAGACUGCCGGGGUCAACUCGGAGGAAGGUGGGGACGACGUCAAAUCAUCAUGCCCCUUAUGUCUUGGGCUUCACGCAUGCUACAAUGGCCGGUACAAAGGGUNNCGAUACUGUGAGGUGGAGCUAAUCCCAAAAAGCCGGUCUCAGUUCGGAUUGGGGUCUGCAACUCCACCCCAUGAAGUCGGAGUCGCUAGUAAUCGCAGAUCAGCAACGCUGCGGUGAAUACGUUCCCGGGCCUUGUACACACCGCCCG